Molecule: long non-coding RNA, 2795 nt
Filed under: Daphnia pulex (common water flea)
Lineage: Eukaryota; Metazoa; Arthropoda; Branchiopoda; Diplostraca; Daphniidae
Description: uncharacterized LOC124208176, transcript variant X2
Source: RNAcentral
UUCUAUUGCAAGUGCAAUUUUUUUAGGCAAGAUGGCGGAAAUCAAUCACGCGAUUUCACGAAAAGUAGGAACUAGGUCCGUAUGCAAAUUUGUUUAGAACUUGAAUUUAUGGCCUGCGUUCCACCAAUCCACACUUGGUGGUCGUCUUCGUUUGCAGAAGGAGCAUAGCCAUAGCUAAUAACGUCGGAUUAAAAGUUAAAAACGUAACAGUUAGACGUACUUACAGACUUGAAAACGAAAUGACCUUAGGUGAAUGUUUAAAAUUGUGAGCGUUUUUAAUAGUCUACUGAAACAACAGAAACAGCAGAAACAAAUUGUCUAAAGAUUCAUGCAUGGUGAUUGUGUUUUAGCUAUUCUGUAGAAUAGAGUUGCAAUUAUUGGCAGCUUGUUUUCCAAAUGAUUUAUCAGCAGUCAAGCCGUCGUAAUUCUUAAUUAUAAGAUGACUGCUGCCCGAUCUACCAACAAGUGCAGUACCCAAGUCAUGGUGAAAGGCCGGCAACCAAUCCGGAAGACGCCAACACCAAGUCAUCAUGGAGAUCGACAGAAACGAAUGCAACAGUGUGAAAGAGUAAGGGCUAAAAUGGAGACCGUGCCGAGCUGUUGUACACAUUUUUCCCCGAGAAUUGUUCUAAGAUUAGUUGUGUCGACUGCAGUGCCCUGCUCGAGUGGCCAGUUAUAAAUCCUAGGUAGCAGACCAAGCAUAUUGACUAAAAAUCAAUCAGAUCAUAUAGAUGAACUAUCAUCAGCCCAAUAAAAAAAAUUCAAUGGACGACCGACGGCAAAGUUCGGUUCGCGCUGGAUGAAUUACGGUAUCGUCUCCAACUCGUCGACAGAUUAAAGAAAAGGCUCUUCUUAUGACCCAACGACACCUUCAUCCUUUGCCCUCACUGCUCCCACUCUAUCUCCUUGAGAGACAAGUCAAGGAAAUUGUUCACUUAGAUUCUCCCCAUUACUUGCCCCAACCCUUGUUGAUCAAGGAAUGUGUUCUGAGUGAAGUUCGUCGUAGGGUUGCUUUCCUCCCAUAGAAACUGUUGAGCUCCUGAGAGGAUCUCUUGAAGGAGAAGCCCCAGCAUCAAGACAAAGGAAUUGAGAGGUGCCGUCGCUUUGGUUUGCGUCAGCUGCGUGGUAAAAUGCGUCCCUGCAAGACUGACACCAACAGCCCAUCCCCAGCAAAGUCUACCUGCAGGAGGAAAGGCCAGUUUGUAUGUCCUUCAUUUUCGAAGGUCAUUACGUAAAACGUGUCAUGGAGUGUAAAGACCCAUCCCCAGCAAAGUCUACCUGCAAGAGGAAAGGCCAGUUUGCAUUUCCUUCACUUUCGAAGGUCACGUAGAUCAUUACGAAAAACGUGUCAUAAAUUGUCUAGAGGUUGGGUGAGAAAGGGAGUGUUUCAUAAUUAUCAAGCAGGUACAACAGCCGCAAGGCUUAAGAGGUGGAGAGAUGAAACAAAAUCGUAUAAAAGGAGAAAGAAAAGGCUACAGAAAUCAGUCGAGUGUGCAUCUCUGACACGUCAACAUCUGUUGCAGCGCACUACUUGUUACCAAUUGCCUUCUUCAUCGUGUUACCAGUUCCCAAUCAUGGGCGUCAUGCUGCUGUUGGGUGUUGUACCAUUGAUGGCUGGUUACUGUGCCCCUUGCGAGAUAUCGGCUCCCUUCAUAAAGCAUAAGCAACAACGAAGAAAUCAGUCGAGUGAUCAUCACACGGCAACAACUGCUUUCUUCGUCGUGUUAAAACAAUUCGCAAUCAUAGUUAACUAAGAUAUCGUGCUGCUGUUGUGUGUUAUAUCUAUGUUGGAUGGGACGGCCACUGGUGUACCGAUGUUUCCUGGGUAUGGCGAAUACCAAACCGCAACGCUGCCGCCUUACUAUACAACACAUACAACACGACCAAUUUCUACACCAAGGCUCCAAAGUACUACACCACCACGGCACCGGAGUACUGCACAACUACAUUUCAUGGGAGAGCAAAGGCGAAAGAAAUCAGUCGAGUGAUCAUCUCCGACACGACAACAGCAACUGCAGUGCAGUAUUAUUCACCAACUGCGUUCUUCGAAGCAUUACUAGUUUUCAAUCAUGGUAAACUAUUUCGUCGUGCUGCUGUUGGCUGUCGUAUCGUUGAUGGCUGGGUCGACCACUGGUGUACCGAUGUCUCGUAGGUAUGGUGGAUACCAAACCGCAACGCCGCUGUCUUACUACUCAACAACAACAUACGCACAACCACUAUUCACCAGAGUAUAACCCACAACUUGUGAUGCCCCGAACUACUACACCGAAGCCCCAAAAUAUAACUCUGCCCAGAGUUACACCACGAAGGGAGCGGAAUACUACACCACGAAGGGAGCGGAGUACUACACCACGAAGGGAGCGGAGUACUACACCACGAAGGGAGCGGAGUACUACACCACGAAGGGAGCGGAGUACUACACCACGAAGGGAGCGGAGUACUACACCACGAAGGGAGCGGAGUACUACACCACGAAGGGAGCGGAGUACUACACCACGAAGGGAGCGGAGUACUACACCACGAAGGGAGCGGAGUACUACACCACGAAGGGAGCGGAGUACUACACCACGAAGGGAGCGGAGUACUACACCAUCACGUAUGCUGCCCCAGCCUUUUACACCGUGGUCUUUAGUACUACACCAUAAACUACGCUUCCGCAAUUUGUUCCUUGGAGGUUCCUAAAUGCUAGAGCCGAAAUUUCCAUUUUAUUUGAUUUCGAUUGUCUUCAUGGUCAUUGGUCACUGGGAAUUAAUUGUUGAUCUUAAAUGGGAAAAUAAAAAUUCUAAUGCUGGUAA